Molecule: transfer RNA, 56 nt
Filed under: Salmo salar (Atlantic salmon)
Lineage: Eukaryota; Metazoa; Chordata; Actinopteri; Salmoniformes; Salmonidae
Also listed under: 1 other name
Rfam family: tRNA
About the family: Transfer RNA (tRNA) molecules are approximately 80 nucleotides in length. Their secondary structure includes four short double-helical elements and three loops (D, anti-codon, and T loops).
Source: Rfam by way of RNAcentral
GCUCAGUUGGUAGAGCAUGGCAUUUGCAAUGUCAUGGAUGUGUGUUUGAUUCCCAC